RNAcentral lists this ribosomal RNA (440 nucleotides) under uncultured bacterium. RNAcentral's name for it is "partial 16S ribosomal RNA". It matches the Rfam family "Bacterial small subunit ribosomal RNA", at positions 338 to 795 of the family's 1533-position model. The record is from RNAcentral.
CCUACGGAGUGCAGCAGUGGGGAAUAUUGCACAAUGGGGGAAACCCUGAUGCAGCGACGCCGCGUGAGUGAAGAAGUAUUUCGGUAUGUAAAGCUCUAUCAGCAGGGAAGAAAAUGACGGUACCUGAUUAAGAAGCCCCGGCUAACUACGUGCCAGCAGCCGCGGUAAUACGUAGGGGGCAAGCGUUAUCCGGAUUUACUGGGUGUAAGGGGAGCGUAGACGGCAGCACAAGUCUGGAGUGAAAUGCCGGGGCUUAACCCCGGAACUGCUUUGGAAACUGUGCAGCUAGAGUGCAGGAGAGGUAAGUGGAAUUCCUAGUGUAGCGGUGAAAUGCGUAGAUAUUAGGAGGAACACCAGUGGCGAAGGCGGCUUACUGGACUGUAACUGACGUUGAGGCUCGAAAGCGUGGGGAGCAAACAGGAUUAGAUACCCGUGUAGUC